Long non-coding RNA from Cydia amplana, 384 nucleotides. RefSeq lists it as uncharacterized. The transcript has 2 exons. The record is from RefSeq and is a predicted model, not a curated record. Lineage: Eukaryota; Metazoa; Arthropoda; Insecta; Lepidoptera; Tortricidae.
GUCCGUCUGUCACCAGGCUGUAUCUCAUGAACCGCGAUAGCUAGACAGUUGAAAUUUUCACAAAUGAUGUAUCUCUUAAAAAAAGCGACCAAGUGCGAGUCGGACUCGCCCAUGAAGGGUUCCGUAUUUAGGCGAUUUAUGACGUAUUAAAAAAAAACUACUUACUAGAUCUCGUUCAAACCAAUUUUCGGUGGAAGUUUACAUGGUAAUGUAUAUCAUAUAUUUUUUUUAGUUUUAUCAUUCUGUUAUUUUAGAAGUUACAGGGGGGGGGGACACACAUUUUACCACUUUGGAAGUGUCUCUCGCGCAAACUAUUCAGUUAGAAAAAAAUGAUAUUAGAAACCUCAAUAUCAUUUUUGAAGACCUAUCCAUAGAUACCCCACA